RNAcentral lists this transfer RNA (84 nucleotides) under Flavobacteriales bacterium. Its description in RNAcentral is "tRNA-Leu". It matches the Rfam family "tRNA". From Rfam's summary of the family: Transfer RNA (tRNA) molecules are approximately 80 nucleotides in length. Their secondary structure includes four short double-helical elements and three loops (D, anti-codon, and T loops). Further hydrogen bonds mediate the characteristic L-shaped molecular structure. tRNAs have two regions of fundamental functional importance: the anti-codon, which is responsible for specific mRNA codon recognition, and the 3' end, to which the tRNAs corresponding amino acid is attached (by aminoacyl-tRNA synthetases). tRNAs cope with the degeneracy of the genetic code in two manners: having more than one tRNA (with a specific anti-codon) for a particular amino acid; and 'wobble' base-pairing, i.e. permitting non-standard base-pairing at the 3rd anti-codon position. Lineage: Bacteria; Pseudomonadati; Bacteroidota; Flavobacteriia; Flavobacteriales. The record is from RNAcentral.
GCCCAGGUGGUGAAAUUGGUAGACACGCCAGCUUGAGGGGCUGGUGGCCGUUAGGCCGUGCUGGUUCGACUCCAGUCUUGGGCA